This 326-nucleotide long non-coding RNA is filed under the name Mytilus galloprovincialis (Mediterranean mussel). Lineage: Eukaryota; Metazoa; Mollusca; Bivalvia; Mytilida; Mytilidae. The record is from RNAcentral.
CAGCCUCUAUUUUACAGUGUAAUGCUGUUCUAUAAACUACACGAUAGAAAGUGCGUUUAGAUACACAGACUAUUACGUAUUUGAAUAUUCUUUACCCAUAUUGUUCUCGCAAUUUGAGUUUCUUGUUAAAUAUAAAGUGAAGUUAAUGUGUCAGAAGUAUUUUAACCCUGUUGGUCUGGUAAUAUAAAGAACACCCGUGUUUAAACCAUUCUCUGUUUUAGACUAGCUUAUUCUAGUCUAUUGAGGUUCCCUGUGUACCUGUAAACACAGGUGGUGGCAGCAAAGUAAAAGACACCCGUUUGGCCAGUUAUUACAGUAUACCUUGU